This 1460-nucleotide long non-coding RNA is filed under the name Mus musculus (house mouse). RNAcentral describes it as "RIKEN cDNA 4930519L02 gene". The record is from RNAcentral. Lineage: Eukaryota; Metazoa; Chordata; Mammalia; Rodentia; Muridae.
AAAGGUAAGGUUGGGAGGGCCUCAGCAGCUUAAAUACAACUUCUCUUCAACGUGUUUAUUUCCACAAUGAGCCAGCUGGAGAAUUCAAGUAGCCAUCUGCGACGGACUUGCUGGUCUGGGUCUGGUUUCCUCUUAUAAGAGCAAUGGUUUGAAUUUGUAACCCGGGACUUUGGAAACUUGUUUCCCAGAUGUUGAAGACAAGAUGUUGCAUACUGACACUGGAUAUCGGACCCAGUCUAUGCUUAGGUCAUCACUGUGAAAACAGAAGCGGUAUGACUCAUUUCAAGCGUCUGAUUUACACACCCAUGAAGGAGCUCCUUCAGAUUGUUAUAUCCCUUCUCGCUACAAGUCCCACUUUCAAAGCCAGCUAGCCCCAGCUUCCCCAGCGGUGGAACUCAGAAAUCCAGACAACAGUUUUCAUGAAGCUGAUCAGCAGGAGCUUCCUCUGCCAGGCCUGCUCCCCAAAGGAAGAACGCUCAGAGCCAGGCCUUGGAGAUGAGAGAUGAGAUGCGUAAUGAAGAGCUGUUUGUUUUCUAGAGAUCUACAAGUCAAUUUGGGAUGCUUCAUCGGCCAAGUUUCUAUCUCUGUACUAGGCAACCAUUACAUGUUUACAGUUUGAAUAAAAUGUCCAUCCUUGCUUUCCAUGGGCAUCUGUACCUUGUUCAAACCACUCUGCAAUUUCAGGCAGACAAAGGCUUCCAAGUCACAAGGCCUGUUUGCGUAAUAGAAGCCCAUUAAGAUUGAGCAGAGGCAGCAUGUAUUAUAGUGAUUUCUCCCUUUGUGGGUUUCGCAAUUUUCCUCCCAAGCUUUGGUGCUUGAAGAUGGCAUUUUCAAAACUGGAAUUAACUACCAGAAAAUGUAUGACACAUAGUUGCCUGCAACCAGUUGGUAGCCCAGGGGACCUCACUGAGCCAUGGCUGUUUACCAGUUCUUUUUAGAGGAAGGAUAAACUUUAACAGGUUGCUUCAUUUAUAUGGCUUCAGGGGGUUAUAAUUAUUAUUUUUAAUAGAUGUUUUUCAAAUUCAGACCUGAGGAGAAAGCCUGUUAUGACUCUUCACUACGCAGUACAAUCUGAGUGUAAAUUUGAAGCUAUCAGGGGGCUCCUGAUGUCCAUAGUGACUGUUGCUACUUCAGACAUUGCCAAUGUAAACAGAUCACCCAUUAAUAAUGACUUCAGACAUUGUAUUUUUUUAUUACAUGGAGCAAUGGUAUACAUGUGUAUGUGCAAUUAUCUCCUAUGUUUGUUACAUUUGAAAACUUGCUAAAAUUUUAUUGCCUAAUCUUGAUAGAAGUUAGAAGAACUAACUAAACAAAACCAAAGGCAUUCUGUUUUACCAGUGAUGCCAUUCACCAGGUAGCAGAGCACUGGCGUUUGUGUGGGUUUUGGUUCCUACACAGCAUAUAAGUGCUCAAUAAUGACAUGGAAUAAAAAUUUAAAAAAUCUGCAACACGCAUUUGAA